AUUCCAGCUCCAAUAGCGUAUAUUUAAGUUGUUGCAGUUAAAAAGCUCGUAGUUGGAUUUUGGUUAAGAGGGCGCGGUCGGCCGUUUGGUCUGUACUGCGUUGUCUUGACUUCCUGAUGAGGACAUGCUCUUGGUUAACGCUGAGACAUGGAGUCAUCGUGGUUACUUUGAAAAAAUUAGAGUGUUCAAAGCGGGCUUACGCUUGAAUAUAUUAGCAUGGAAUAACACUAUAGGACUCCUGUCCUAUCUCGUUGGUCUCGGGAUGGGAGUAAUGAUUAAGAGGAACAAUUGGGGGCAUUCGUAUUUAACUGUCAGAGGUGAAAUUCUUGGAUUUGUUAAAGACGGACUACUGCGAAGGCAUCUGCCAUGGAUGUUUUCAUCA
RNAcentral lists this ribosomal RNA (382 nucleotides) under Bathycoccus sp. RNAcentral's name for it is "partial small subunit ribosomal RNA". It matches the Rfam family "Eukaryotic small subunit ribosomal RNA", at positions 582 to 975 of the family's 1831-position model. Lineage: Eukaryota; Viridiplantae; Chlorophyta; Mamiellophyceae; Mamiellales; Bathycoccaceae. The record is from RNAcentral.